GAUGAACGCUGACAGAAUGCUUAACACAUGCAAGUCUACUUGAAUUUGGGUUUUUUCACUUAGAUUUGGGUGGCGGACGGGUGAGUAACGCGUAAAGAACUUGCCUCACAGCUAGGGACGACAUUUGGAAACGAAUGCUAAUACCUGAUAUUAUGAUUAUAAGGCAUCUUAGAAUUAUGAAAGCUAUAUGCGCUGUGAGAGAGCUUUGCGUCCCAUUAGCUAGUUGGAGAGGUAACGGCUCACCAAGGCGAUGAUGGGUAGCCGGCCUGAGAGGGUGAACGGCCACAAGGGGACGGAGACACGGCCCUUACUCCUACGGGAGGCAGCAGUGGGGAAUAUUGGACAAUGGACCAAGAGUCUGAUCCAGCAAUUCUGUGUGCACGAUGACGUUUUUCGGAAUGUAAAGUGCUUUCAGUUGGGAAGAAAAAAAUGACGGUACCAACAGAAGAAGUGACGGCUAAAUACGUG
This 468-nucleotide ribosomal RNA is filed under the name uncultured bacterium. Its description in RNAcentral is "partial 16S ribosomal RNA". It matches the Rfam family "Bacterial small subunit ribosomal RNA", at positions 28 to 507 of the family's 1533-position model. The record is from RNAcentral.